Molecule: non-coding RNA, 26 nt
Filed under: Homo sapiens (human)
Lineage: Eukaryota; Metazoa; Chordata; Mammalia; Primates; Hominidae
Source: RNAcentral
CAUGAUGUGAACGGCAUACUCACUGC